AUAUAUGCAAGUCGAGCGGACUUGUUAGAAGCUUGCUUCUAACAAGUUAGCGGCGGACGGGUGAGUAACACGUGGGUAACCUGCCUGUAAGAUGGGGAUAACUCCGGGAAACCGGAGCUAAUACCGAAUAACACUUUCGCUCGCAUGAGCGGAUGUUAAAAGACGGUUUCGGCUGUCACUUACAGAUGGACCCGCGGCGCAUUAGCUAGUUGGUGAGGUAACGGCUCACCAAGGCGACGAUGCGUAGCCGACCUGAGAGGGUGAUCGGCCACACUGGGACUGAGACACGGCCCAGACUCCUACGGGAGGCAGCAGUAGGGAAUCUUCCGCAAUGGACGAAAGUCUGACGGAGCAACGCCGCGUGAGUGAUGAAGGUUUUCGGAUCGUAAAACUCUGUUGUUAGGGAAGAACAAGUACGAGAGUAACUGCUCGUACCCUUGACGGUACCUAACCAGAAAGCCACGGCUAAACUACGUGCCAGCAGCCGCGGUAAUACGUAGGUGGCAAGCGUUGUCCGGAAUUAUUGGGCGUAAAGCGCGCGCAGGCGGUUCCUUAAGUCUGAUGUGAAAGCCCACGGCUCAACCGUGGAGGGUCAUUGGAAACUGGGGAACUUGAGUGCAGAAGAGGAAAGCGGAAUUCCACGUGUAGCGGUGAAAUGCGUAGAGAUGUGGAGGAACACCAGUGGCGAAGGCGGCUUUCUGGUCUGUAACUGACGCUGAGGCGCGAAAGCGUGGGGAGCAAACAGGAUUAG
This 751-nucleotide ribosomal RNA is filed under the name Priestia koreensis. RNAcentral describes it as "bacterial SSU rRNA". It matches the Rfam family "Bacterial small subunit ribosomal RNA", at positions 51 to 781 of the family's 1533-position model. The record is from RNAcentral. Lineage: Bacteria; Bacillati; Bacillota; Bacilli; Caryophanales; Bacillaceae.